This 548-nucleotide ribosomal RNA is filed under the name uncultured Glomeromycotina. RNAcentral describes it as "SSU rRNA". It matches the Rfam family "Eukaryotic small subunit ribosomal RNA", at positions 548 to 1098 of the family's 1831-position model. Lineage: Eukaryota; Fungi; Glomeromycota. The record is from RNAcentral.
UUGGAGGGCAAGUCUGGUGCCAGCAGCCGCGGUAAUUCCAGCUCCAAUAGCGUAUAUUAAAGUUGUUGCAGUUAAAAAGCUCGUAGUUGAAUUUCGGGGUUAGUAGGUUGGUCAUGCCUCUGGUAUGCACUGGCCUCACUGAUUCCUCCUUCCUGAUGAGCCGUAAUGCCAUUAAUUUGGUGUUGCGGGGAAUUUGGACUGUUACUUUGAAAAAAUUAGAGUGUUUAAAGCAAGCUAACGCUUGAAUACAUUAGCAUGGAAUAAUGAAAUAGGACGUUCGAUCCUAUUUUGUUGGUUUCUAGGAUUGUCGUAAUGAUUAAUAGGGAUAGUUGGGGGCAUUAGUAUUCAAUUGUCAGAGGUGAAAUUCUUGGAUUUAUUGAAGACUAACUACUGCGAAAGCAUUUGCCAAGGAUGUUUUCAUUAAUCAAGAACGAAAGUUAGGGGAUCGAAGACGAUCAGAUACCGUCGUAGUCUUAACCAUAAACUAUGCCGACUAGGGAUCGGAUGAUGUUAAUUUUUUAAUGACUCAUUCGGCGCCUACGGGAAAC